Molecule: ribosomal RNA, 312 nt
Filed under: uncultured bacterium
Lineage: Bacteria
Description: bacterial SSU rRNA
Rfam family: Bacterial small subunit ribosomal RNA
Source: RNAcentral
AGGAAAUAGAUACCCUGGUAGUCCACGCCCUAAACGAUGAUUACUCGACAUACGCGAUACACAGUGUGUGUCUGAGCGAAAGCAUUAAGUAAUCCACCUGGGAAGUACGACCGCAAGGUUGAAACUCAAAGGAAUUGACGGGGGUCGGCACAAGCGGUGGAGCAUGUGGUUUAAUUUACGAUGAUACGCGAGGAACCGUUACCUGGGCUAGUAAUGCUGCCUGACGAAUCCUGAAAGGGGUUUUUAAGUUAGCAAUAUACAGGUAGUAAGGUGCUGCAUGGCUGUCGUCAGCUCGUGCCGUGAGGUGUUGGG